RNAcentral lists this ribosomal RNA (330 nucleotides) under uncultured soil bacterium. Its description in RNAcentral is "bacterial SSU rRNA". It matches the Rfam family "Bacterial small subunit ribosomal RNA", at positions 26 to 355 of the family's 1533-position model. The record is from RNAcentral.
AGAUUGAACGCUGGCGGCAGGCCUAACACAUGCAAGUCGAGCGGCAGCACGGGUACUUGUACCUGGUGGCGAGCGGCGGACGGGUGAGUAAUGCCUAGGAAUCUGCCUGGUAGUGGGGGAUAACGCUCGGAAACGGACGCUAAUACCGCAUACGUCCUACGGGAGAAAGCAGGGGACCUUCGGGCCUUGCGCUAUCAGAUGAGCCUAGGUCGGAUUAGCUAGUUGGUGGGGUAAUGGCUCACCAAGGCGACGAUCCGUAACUGGUCUGAGAGGAUGAUCAGUCACACUGGAACUGAGACACGGUCCAGACUCCGUACGGGAGCAGCAGGU